This 67-nucleotide transfer RNA is filed under the name Pyrgus maculatus. Its description in RNAcentral is "tRNA-His". It matches the Rfam family "tRNA". From Rfam's summary of the family: Transfer RNA (tRNA) molecules are approximately 80 nucleotides in length. Their secondary structure includes four short double-helical elements and three loops (D, anti-codon, and T loops). Further hydrogen bonds mediate the characteristic L-shaped molecular structure. tRNAs have two regions of fundamental functional importance: the anti-codon, which is responsible for specific mRNA codon recognition, and the 3' end, to which the tRNAs corresponding amino acid is attached (by aminoacyl-tRNA synthetases). tRNAs cope with the degeneracy of the genetic code in two manners: having more than one tRNA (with a specific anti-codon) for a particular amino acid; and 'wobble' base-pairing, i.e. permitting non-standard base-pairing at the 3rd anti-codon position. Lineage: Eukaryota; Metazoa; Arthropoda; Insecta; Lepidoptera; Hesperiidae. The record is from RNAcentral.
AUUUGAAUAAUUUAAGAUAAAAUAUUGAUUUGUGGAGUCAAAAAUAUGAUAUAAAUCAUUUCAGAUU